Molecule: unclassified non-coding RNA, 257 nt
Filed under: uncultured fungus
Lineage: Eukaryota; Fungi
Description: sequence contains ITS2
Source: RNAcentral
AACGCACAUUGCGCCCUUUGGCAUUCCGAAGGGCAUGCCCGUUCGAGCGUCAUUAAAUCCAAUCAAGCCUGGCUUGGUGUUGGGCGUCGGGGUCUCCCCGCGCCUCAAUUUCGCCGGCUGGCCGUCGCCCGUCUUAGCGUUGUGACUCACGUUUCGCUACCGAUGGGACCGGACCACGCCGUUAAAAUCCCACGAAUUUCCAUCGAAAUUUGAUUAAGGUUGACCUCGGAUCGGGUAGGAGUACCCGCUGAACUUAA